This 20-nucleotide microRNA is filed under the name Dasypus novemcinctus (nine-banded armadillo). Its description in RNAcentral is "dno-miR-296-5p". Its record names the gene dno-miR-296-5p. The record is from miRBase by way of RNAcentral. Lineage: Eukaryota; Metazoa; Chordata; Mammalia; Cingulata; Dasypodidae.
AGGGCCCCCCUCAACCCUGU